GAUGAACGCUGGCGGCGUGCCUAAUACAUGCGAGUCGAGCGAACAGACGAGGAGCUUGCUCCUCUGACGUUAGCGGCGGACGGGUGAGUAAAACGUGGAUAACCUACCUAUAAGACUGGGAUAACUUCGGGAAACCGGAGCUAAUACCGGAUAAUAUAUUGAACCGCAUGGUUCAAUAGUGAAAGACGGUUUUGCUGUCACUUAUAGAUGGAUCCGCGCCGCAUUAGCUAGUUGGUAAGGUAACGGCUUACCAAGGCAACGAUGCGUAGCCGACCUGAGAGGGUGAUCGGCCACACUGGAACUGAGACACGGUCCAGACUCCUACGGGAGGCAGCAGUAGGGAAUCUUCCGCAAUGGGCGAAAGCCUGACGGAGCAACGCCGCGUGAGUGAUGAAGGUCUUCGGAUCGUAAAACUCUGUUAUUAGGGAAGAACAAAUGUGUAAGUAACUAUGCACGUCUUGACGGUACCUAAUCAGAAAGCCACGGCUAACUACGUG
Molecule: ribosomal RNA, 497 nt
Filed under: uncultured bacterium
Lineage: Bacteria
Description: partial 16S ribosomal RNA
Rfam family: Bacterial small subunit ribosomal RNA
Source: RNAcentral